AAGGGCAGCCCAUCUGCUGGGGGCUCCAAGAACCACAGGUGCCACUUUGGAGAAUGUGGCUACAGCAAGAGGUGCCCUGCCCAUCUCCCCCUCCCCUGACCACCAGGCAGAAGAAACAGCUUGUUUACCAGGACAAAAGCCUGAAAUAGUAAUGGUGCCAGCCGGCUAAGUGUGACAGAUGGACAGGCAGUUUUCCGGGCUCGCCCUGCUGCCAGACUGAGGUCCCACCUUGGCUGCUCCGGCUCUGAGACGGGCUGCAGCUCAGAGAUGACCUGUCACUGCUACAGAGGCCUUCCGGCAAGAUGAAGAGGUGAAGUUGGGGAGGUGAUCUGAGCCAGGAAAGAGGGGCGACAUGAAAGGAGAAGGAAUCCCAGGAAGGAGACGGAGCUUCCGCAAAGGCAGAGAGGUGUGGGCAAGCAGGAGGGCUGGCAGCCGGGCAGCUCCUCCCCUGCACGCAGCUGCCUACCUGCUGAUGAGCUGCCCUUUGGCUUUGACCCCUCCGUUUCCCCCACUACCCCCACCCCUAUCGACUCCCAAGCUCCGCAAGUGUUCAGCUCUUAGAUGUCUCUGGUACCCCUCUUCUCUUCUCUAGCCACUGCCUGGGACUCAUAGCCCUUUCCGGCCAGGACUAAUUAAAACAGCUUCCUU
Physeter macrocephalus (sperm whale) is the source of this 648-nucleotide long non-coding RNA. RefSeq lists it as uncharacterized. The record is from RefSeq and is a predicted model, not a curated record. NCBI's taxonomy places the organism in Eukaryota, Metazoa, Chordata, Mammalia, Artiodactyla, Physeteridae. The transcript is spliced from 4 exons.